AGUGAACGCUGGCGGUAGGCCUAACACAUGCAAGUCGAACGGCAGCACAGGAGAGCUUGCUCUCUGGGUGGCGAGUGGCGGACGGGUGAGGAAUACAUCGGAAUCUACUUUUUCGUGGGGGAUAACGUAGGGAAACUUACGCUAAUACCGCAUACGACCUACGGGUGAAAGCAGGGGAUCUUCGGACCUUGCGCGAUUGAAUGAGCCGAUGUCGGAUUAGCUAGUUGGCGGGGUAAAGGCCCACCAAGGCGACGAUCCGUAGCUGGUCUGAGGGGAUGAACGGCCAAACUGGAACGGAGACGCGGUCCAGACUCCUACGGGAGGCAGCAGUGGGGAAUAUUGGACAAUGGGCGCAAGCCUGAUCCAGCCAUACCGCGUGGGUGAAGAAGGCCUUCGGGUUGUAAAGCCCUUUUGUUGGGAAAGAAAUCCAGCUGGUUAAUACCCGGUUGGGAUGACGGUACCCAAAGAAUAAGCACCGGCUAACUUCGUGCCAGCCGCCGCGGUAA
RNAcentral lists this ribosomal RNA (506 nucleotides) under uncultured bacterium. RNAcentral's name for it is "partial 16S ribosomal RNA". It matches the Rfam family "Bacterial small subunit ribosomal RNA", at positions 29 to 523 of the family's 1533-position model. The record is from RNAcentral.